This 505-nucleotide ribosomal RNA is filed under the name uncultured bacterium. RNAcentral's name for it is "bacterial SSU rRNA". It matches the Rfam family "Bacterial small subunit ribosomal RNA", at positions 15 to 518 of the family's 1533-position model. The record is from RNAcentral.
GAUCCUGGCUCAGGAUGAACGCUGGCGGCGUGCCUAAUACAUGCAAGUCGAGCGAGAACUUGAUGAUGGAAGAUUCGUCUGAAAGAUUCAAGGGAAAGCGGCGGACGGGUGAGUAACGCGUAGGCAACCUGCCCUUAGCAGAGGGAUAGCCAUUGGAAACGAUGAUUAAAACCUCAUAACACUUUGGAGACACAUGUCUUUAAAGCCAAAGAUUUAUCGGCUAAGGAUGGGCCUGCGUCUGAUUAACUGGUUGGUGAGGUAACGGCUCACCAAGGUGACGAUCAGUAGCCGACCUGAGAGGGUGAUCGGCCACAUUGGAACUGAGACACGGUCCAAACUUCUACGGAAGGCAGCAGUAAGGAAUCUUGCACAAUGGGGGAAACCCUGAUGCAGCAACGCCGCGUGAACGAAGAAGGCCUUCGGGUUGUAAAGUUCUGAUCUUGGGGAAGAAGGAAGUGACGGUACCCAAGGAGAAAGCCCCGGCUAACUACGUGCCAGCAGCUGC